Non-coding RNA from Triticum aestivum (bread wheat), 135 nucleotides. NCBI's taxonomy places the organism in Eukaryota, Viridiplantae, Streptophyta, Magnoliopsida, Poales, Poaceae. The record is from Rfam.
CAACUACUCCCUCUGUCCCAAAUUUCUUGUCUUAGAUUUGUCUAGAUACGGAUGUAUCUAAUACUAAAAUGUGACUUGAUACAUCCGUAUCUAGACAAAUCUAAGACAAGAAUUUUGGGAUGAAGGGAGUACUUU